AAAGCUAUGUGAACCUGUAAGGAAUAUACACAUCGAGAUGUCUUCCUGGGUUCUCGCACCUUGUGCCACGAGUGCGGGCGCGAGGUGAAAUCCCCCAUCCAUAGGCUAAUUUUUAGUUACUUGAGAAAUUAAGGAAAAAAAAAAGAUCGAUGAAGUGAAAUUUUGGUAAAAUUGAUAAAAUGAUUGGUUUCAAAAUGAAAUUUAAUAAGAAACUAU
RNAcentral lists this long non-coding RNA (216 nucleotides) under Carica papaya (papaya). Its description in RNAcentral is "long non-coding RNA (CPAP_LNC004094)". The record is from RNAcentral. Lineage: Eukaryota; Viridiplantae; Streptophyta; Magnoliopsida; Brassicales; Caricaceae.